CUCACCAAGGCGUCAACGGGUAGCCGGCCUGAGAGGGUGACCGGCCACACUGGGACUGAAACACGGCCCAAACUCCUACGGGAGGCAGCAGUGGGGAAUAUUGCACAAUGGGCGAAAGCCUGAUGCACCAACGCCGCGUGAGGGACAACGGCCUUCGGGUUGUAAACCUCUUUUACCAGGAAAGAAACGAAAGUGACGGUACCUGCAAAAAAAGCGCCGGCUAACUACGUGCCAGCAGCCGCGGUAAUACGUAGGGCGCAAGCGUUAUCCGGAAUUAUUGGGCGUAAAGAGCUCGUAGGCGGUCUGUCGCGUCUGCUGUGAAAACCCGAGGCUCAACCUCGGGCCUGCAGUGAGUACGGGCAGACUAGAGUGCGGUAGGGGAGAUUGGAAUUCCUGGUGUAGCGGUGGAAUGCGCAGAUAUCAGGAGGAACACCGAUGGCGAA
RNAcentral lists this ribosomal RNA (443 nucleotides) under Microbacterium schleiferi. RNAcentral describes it as "bacterial SSU rRNA". It matches the Rfam family "Bacterial small subunit ribosomal RNA", at positions 264 to 719 of the family's 1533-position model. The record is from RNAcentral. Lineage: Bacteria; Bacillati; Actinomycetota; Actinomycetes; Micrococcales; Microbacteriaceae.